AGCGGAAGUGCAGCUUGGAGGGGUUCCUCGCUGUCUGCUGUGUGACUUUCAAAUUAUUCCUUUGAGCUGGUUUCCCCGAAGUGCAAUUUCGUGGCUAGAAAGGUUUUCUAGGCUGGUGUCAAAUUUGGUCAAAUGACCUUCGAGGGGGCCGGACGCUCACGCCAGCGGCGUUGGCGAGCGAGUCGAGCCGUGGGGCUCCGUGCAGAACGGGCGUUGUUGGAGGCAGACGACAGAGCCGGGCCGAGCCCCCCGGCCCCCCUCCCGGGUCCUCACUCAGCUGCACCCACUCAGGCCCGUUCUGGAACCUGAGCAGCUCCGUGGUUACUGUUCAAGGUGGGUCUUUGGAAGGUCUGUGUCAGAGCUUGACAGCAGGCACCUGAGUGUUUGACAUUUGCUGCUGGACCAUGGGCUGCAGCGAUGCCCCGCGGCGGGGGCUCCGGACGCGCCGAGGUCAGGCCCAGGAGAGGAGCUGUGACGUGGGCACCCCUGCGAAGCCUGGGCUCCCUGGUGACCCUCUCUGAUCUCGCCCCCCGCCGUCUGUGCCAUGGUGUGGAUGGCGCUCCCCCGGGGCAGGUCUGCCCCAGGACGCCGCGCCGCGUCUGGACACGUUUCGGGUUGUCAUGACCGGGGUGCUCCUGGCGUCUGGUGGGUGCAGGCCUGGGGUGCCGCUCAACACCCACGCGCCCAGGGCGGCCCCACCACUGUCCUCUCGGGAAGAGGCGUCCUCGGCUCUGCUCUUGCUCCGGGGUCCCAUGUGCCGGCCUGUGGCCCCCCGGACUUCCCUCUGAACCCUUUGGAGAGGACGGAGGGAGAAAAGGCAGGUCUUAGUCCCGUGAAAACGGUGUCGGCCCGCGGACCUCGCACCCUGGACCAGCUUGAGGACCAUGUGCGGCUGACUCGCGCCCUUCGUGGUGUACUGUCC
Molecule: long non-coding RNA, 922 nt
Filed under: Equus asinus (donkey)
Lineage: Eukaryota; Metazoa; Chordata; Mammalia; Perissodactyla; Equidae
Description: lncRNA (ENSEASG00005030994.1)
Source: RNAcentral